Long non-coding RNA from Bubalus bubalis (water buffalo), 700 nucleotides. RefSeq lists it as uncharacterized. NCBI's taxonomy places the organism in Eukaryota, Metazoa, Chordata, Mammalia, Artiodactyla, Bovidae. The record is from RefSeq and is a predicted model, not a curated record. The transcript has 3 exons.
UGAAAGGUCCACGAGGUCAGAGAAGCAGUCAGGAGGGGUGGGCUGUGAUGGGGGACAAAUAGUUUAGAUUUUAUUCAAAAUGAGCACAGAACCCAUCUGGAAGUUUUAGCAGAAAAAUGGCAUGAUCUGACUCACCACUUAGAAGGGUCAUUCUGUAGCUGCCGUGAUCAUGCGUGUGUGUAGACGUCGUGCAGCAAGAGUGCCAGCUGGGAGACUAACUGGGUGACUGCAGUUGUCCCAGGGAGACAAUUGGCUGGUGGCCUGGAUCAGCUGACUGUUGGAUUAUAUUGAAGCUGGACUUUGGGCAAGGUUGGCCCCCUGCCUGGGCUUUUCUGCUGGACCUAUAGAGCAGAGCCGGUGCUGGGCCUGCAUGCAGUGUUGAACCAAUCCGCCCGGGGUACGAGCAUCAGCUCCAGCGCAGCUUGGAGGGCACGCUCCCAGCUCUGAUAACAGUGGAAGCCCCGGCGAGCGAGCGAGCCUGGGACCUUGAGCCGAACGUCGCGCAACCCCGCGCUGCGCAGCGGACUACACAGGCGACAGUGACCCUGGCACCUGGCCAGGGAUCCAGCGCUGGUCCGGAGACACCCAGAAGCUCAGGGUGCUGCCUGGAACACCUCGACCUACGAGUCUUGUCUGGGCUCGUUGGGUCCUAGAAAUCACCCCUACUACAUCCCCCCAUCCGGCCACCCCUUCCCCGUCU